Molecule: ribosomal RNA, 481 nt
Filed under: uncultured bacterium
Lineage: Bacteria
Description: partial 16S ribosomal RNA
Rfam family: Bacterial small subunit ribosomal RNA
Source: RNAcentral
GAUGAACGCUGGCGGCGUGCUUAACACAUGCAAGUCGAACGAAGCACUUUAUUUGAUUUCCUUCGGGACUGAUUAUUUUGUGACUGAGUGGCGGACGGGUGAGUAACGCGUGGGUAACCUGCCUUGUACAGGGGGAUAACAGUUGGAAACGGCUGCUAAUACCGCAUAAGCGCACAGCAUCGCAUGAUGCAGUGUGAAAAACUCCGGUGGUAUAAGAUGGACCCGCGUUGGAUUAGCUAGUUGGUGAGGUAACGGCCCACCAAGGCGACGAUCCAUAGCCGACCUGAGAGGGUGACCGGCCACAUUGGGACUGAGACACGGCCCAAACUCCUACGGGAGGCAGCAGUGGGGAAUAUUGCACAAUGGGCGAAAGCCUGAUGCAGCGACGCCGCGUGAGCGAAGAAGUAUUUCGGGAUGUAAAGCUCUAUCAGCAGGGAAGAUAAUGACGGUACCUGACUAAGAAGCACCGGCUAAAUACGUG